GAUGAACGCUGGCGGCGUGCCUAAUACAUGCAAGUCGAGCGAACGGACGAGAAGCUUGCUUCUCUGAUGUUAGCGGCGGACGGGUGAGUAACACGUGGAUAACCUACCUAUAAGACUGGGAUAACUUCGGGAAACCGGAGCUAAUACCGGAUAAUAUUUUGAACCGCAUGGUUCAAAAGUGAAAGGCGGUCUUGCUGUCACUUAUAGAUGGAUCCGCGCUGCAUUAGCUAGUUGGUAAGGUAACGGCUUACCAAGGCAACGAUGCAUAGCCGACCUGAGAGGGUGAUCGGCCACACUGGAACUGAGACACGGUCCAGACUCCUACGGGAGGCAGCAGUAGGGAAUCUUCCGCAAUGUGCGAAAGCCUGACGGAGCAACGCCGCGUGAGUGAUGAAGGUCUUCGGAUCGUAAAACUCUGUUAUUAGGGAAGAACAUAUGUGUAAGUAACUGUGCACAUCUUGACGGUACCUAAUCAGAAAGCCACGGCUAACUACGUG
RNAcentral lists this ribosomal RNA (497 nucleotides) under uncultured bacterium. Its description in RNAcentral is "partial 16S ribosomal RNA". It matches the Rfam family "Bacterial small subunit ribosomal RNA", at positions 28 to 507 of the family's 1533-position model. The record is from RNAcentral.